GAAGGGUGGUGUUUAUUAGAAUUUUCAAACCAAUGAUGAAGGUUACUUCAUGUUUGAUGACUCAUGAUAAAUUUACGAAUCGCAAGACUUUAUGCUGGCGAUGUAUCAAUUAAAUUUCUGCACUAUUAACUUUUGAUGCAAGUGUAUUGUACUUACAUGGUUUUGAUGGUUAACGGAGGAUUAGGGUUUGAUUCCGGAGAGGGAGCCUGAGAAAUGGCUACCACAUCCAAGGAAGGCAGCAGGCGCGCAAAUUACCCAAUCUCAAUACGAGGAGGUAGUGACAAUAAAUAACAGUGCAGGGCUUUUUAAGUCUUGCAAUUGGAAUGAGUACAAUUUAAAACCCUUAACGAGAAACAAUUGGAGGGCAAGUCUGGUGCCAGCAGCCGCGGUAAUUCCAGCUCCAAUAGCGUAUAUUUAUGUGGUUGCAGUUGAAAAGCUCGUAGUUGGAUUUGAGGUUUAGGGAUAUGGUCUCAUCUUCGGAUGUUGUACUGUAUUUCUUUAUCUUUUACAUGAGAAGGUAUUCUGUUCUUUAUUGGAUGGUUUAUUGACUCAUGUCUUUUACUUUGAAAAAAUUAGAGUGUUCAAAGCAGGCUUAUGCCUUGAGUACAUUAGCAUGGAAUAAUAAGAUAGGACUUUUGUCUAUUUUGUUGGUUUUUAUGGACUGAAGUAAUGAUUAAUAGGGGCAGUUGGGGACAUUAAUAUUUAAUUGUCAGAGGUGAAAUUCUUGGAUUUAUUAAAGAUUAACUACUGCGAAAGCAUUUGUCAAGGAUGUUUUCAUUAAUCAAGAACGAAAGUUGGGGGAUCGAAGACGAUCAGAUACCGUCGUAGUCUCAACCAUAAACUAUGCCGACGAGAAAUUAGUGAAUGUUUAUUCAUUGACUUCAUUAGCUUCUUCCGAGAAAUCAAAGUUUUUGGGUUCUGGGGGGAGUAUGGUCGCAAGGCUGAAACUUAAAGGAAUUGACGGAAGGGCACCACCAGGAGUGGAGCCUGCGGCUUAAUUUGACCCAACACGGGAAAACUUACCAGGUCCAGACAUAAGAAGGAUUGACAGAUUGGGAGCUCUUUCUUGAUUUUACGGGUGGUGGUGCAUGGCCGUUCUUAGUUGGUGGAGUGAUUUGUCUGCUUAAUUGCGAUAACGAACGAGACCUUAACCUACUAAAUAGCUACGUGAAACCUAGUUUCAUGGCCAGCUUCUU
This 1196-nucleotide ribosomal RNA is filed under the name metagenome. RNAcentral's name for it is "SSU rRNA". It matches the Rfam family "Eukaryotic small subunit ribosomal RNA", at positions 195 to 1412 of the family's 1831-position model. The record is from RNAcentral.